This 1097-nucleotide small RNA is filed under the name Arabidopsis thaliana (thale cress). RNAcentral describes it as "ATSL210080". Lineage: Eukaryota; Viridiplantae; Streptophyta; Magnoliopsida; Brassicales; Brassicaceae. The record is from RNAcentral.
AAAUUUGAUAGUAACGAAAAAUCUAUAUUGUGUAUUAUUUUGAAAUUCAUAUGAUAUUUUGCAUUUUUUGGAUCUGAAGAAUAAAGUUGUAAAAAUAGACGAGUUUGAGGAUUUUUUUGCAUAAAACCCUUUUAAAAAGUAGAGUUUAGAUGGUUUUAAGGUGUUAAACUUAAAACAUGUGUAAACUUUAGAAUCCGUGGACGAGGCAUACACCGCUUUACUAUAGGACGUGUUAAUAUAUUUUUAACUUUUAAGUACAAAAGAAAAUAAGUGUCGUGGAUUAGUUAAUCGAUGUAGUAGAGUAUUGCGAGUUUGAUUGUGUGUUUUGCAGGGUUUUGAUAGAGGUAAAUAAAAAAUCUGUUAAACAUACAAAAGUUAGAAGUAAUAUAGUUAACCUACGAAAAGAUUGUAACUAAAUAAACAUAUUACUAUAAAUUAUACAACAUAUAACAAAUAGAAAGAUUACUUCGAUAAACCUAAAUAGAGCAAAAUUUUCUACCGCUUACUUUUCGUACAAUUUUUGAACUUUAACAUGGACAAUGUCUAAGCAAAAUUUUGUUUUGUUUAAUUGUUUUUGUUGAAAAGAUGUAAAUAAAAAUUGCAUGCCCAAAACUCGUCUACAAAAUCAAAGCAAUUUUUUUUUACUUUUGCCCAUCAAAGAGCAUAGUAAUGUAUCAAACUUAUUUUUAUAUAUAGAUAUAAAGAUUUAAUGGGUAAAUUGCUUUAGAGAUCGUGUGUGUGAAGAAGCAAUAAUCAUAUAUUAUUUUAAUCAUCUUACGAAGAGUUAAGUGUCAGGGAAGAAGUUUGUUCUCAUUCGCUCAAAAUUGGAAACACUUAUGUUGGUUAUGUUAGUUAUGAUUUUUUGAGGGAUAUAUUGCUUAGAUUUCGAAACGAAUUGGGUGAAGUUAUUGAGUAAAUCGUUUAGCUAGAUUAGUUCGUAUCAUGUAUUGAUUUUAAUUUGUUUAUGUAAUCUCUUCUCAUCAUUAUUGGGUAGCAAAAAUAAAGCUUUUCUUUUAAAAACAACAACUUCUGGCUACAAACAAAAUGUCAAUAUCCAAUUAACAAAAUUAUCUAAAACUAAACUGAAAAUUGUAAAU